Molecule: ribosomal RNA, 1450 nt
Filed under: Klebsiella pneumoniae
Lineage: Bacteria; Pseudomonadati; Pseudomonadota; Gammaproteobacteria; Enterobacterales; Enterobacteriaceae
Description: bacterial SSU rRNA
Rfam family: Bacterial small subunit ribosomal RNA
Source: RNAcentral
CGACAUUACGGGCGGCCCAAGGGGUGCAAGCCAAAGGGGAGGAACAAAGAGCUUGCUCUCGGGUGACGAGCGGCGGACGGGUGAGUAAUGUCUGGGAAACUGCCUGAUGGAGGGGGAUAACUACUGGAAACGGUAGCUAAUACCGCAUAACGUCGCAAGACCAAAGUGGGGGACCUUCGGGCCUCAUGCCAUCAGAUGUGCCCAGAUGGGAUUAGCUAGUAGGUGGGGUAACGGCUCACCUAGGCGACGAUCCCUAGCUGGUCUGAGAGGAUGACCAGCCACACUGGAACUGAGACACGGUCCAGACUCCUACGGGAGGCAGCAGUGGGGAAUAUUGCACAAUGGGCGCAAGCCUGAUGCAGCCAUGCCGCGUGUGUGAAGAAGGCCUUCGGGUUGUAAAGCACUUUCAGCGGGGAGGAAGGCGUUAAGGUUAAUAACCUUGUCGAUUGACGUUACCCGCAGAAGAAGCACCGGCUAACUCCGUGCCAGCAGCCGCGGUAAUACGGAGGGUGCAAGCGUUAAUCGGAAUUACUGGGCGUAAAGCGCACGCAGGCGGUCUGUCAAGUCGGAUGUGAAAUCCCCGGGCUCAACCUGGGAACUGCAUUCGAAACUGGCAGGCUAGAGUCUUGUAGAGGGGGGUAGAAUUCCAGGUGUAGCGGUGAAAUGCGUAGAGAUCUGGAGGAAUACCGGUGGCGAAGGCGGCCCCCUGGACAAAGACUGACGCUCAGGUGCGAAAGCGUGGGGAGCAAACAGGAUUAGAUACCCUGGUAGUCCACGCCGUAAACGAUGUCGAUUUGGAGGUUGUGCCCUUGAGGCGUGGCUUCCGGAGCUAACGCGUUAAAUCGACCGCCUGGGGAGUACGGCCGCAAGGUUAAAACUCAAAUGAAUUGACGGGGGCCCGCACAAGCGGUGGAGCAUGUGGUUUAAUUCGAUGCAACGCGAAGAACCUUACCUGGUCUUGACAUCCACAGAACUUUCCAGAGAUGGAUUGGUGCCUUCGGGAACUGUGAGACAGGUGCUGCAUGGCUGUCGUCAGCUCGUGUUGUGAAAUGUUGGGUUAAGUCCCGCAACGAGCGCAACCCUUAUCCUUUGUUGCCAGCGGUUAGGCCGGGAACUCAAAGGAGACUGCCAGUGAUAAACUGGAGGAAGGUGGGGAUGACGUCAAGUCAUCAUGGCCCUUACGACCAGGGCUACACACGUGCUACAAUGGCAUAUACAAAGAGAAGCGACCUCGCGAGAGCAAGCGGACCUCAUAAAGUAUGUCGUAGUCCGGAUUGGAGUCUGCAACUCGACUCCAUGAAGUCGGAAUCGCUAGUAAUCGUAGAUCAGAAUGCUACGGUGAAUACGUUCCCGGGCCUUGUACACACCGCCCGUCACACCAUGGGAGUGGGUUGCAAAAGAAGUAGGUAGCUUAACCUUCGGGAGGGCGCUACCACUUUUUAUGACGCCC